CCGAGUUUACAACUCCCAAACCCCUGUGAACAUACCAAUUGUUGCCUCGGCGGAUCAGCCCGCUCCCGGUAAAACGGGACGGCCCGCCAGAGGACCCCUAAACUCUGUUUCUAUAUGUAACUUCCGAGUAAAACCAUAAAUAAAUCA
This 147-nucleotide unclassified non-coding RNA is filed under the name soil metagenome. RNAcentral's name for it is "partial internal transcribed spacer 1". The record is from RNAcentral.